AGAACGAACGCUGGCGGCAGGCCUCAAACAUGCAAGUCUAGGGGGUGCAGCAAUGCAUCACCGGCGGACGGGUGCGUAACACGUGGGAAUAUACCUUUCGGUACGGAACAACGCAGGGAAACUUGCGCUAAUACCGUAUACGUCCUUACGGAGAAAGAUUUAUCGCCGAAGGAUUAGCCCGCGUAGGAUUAGCUAGUUGGUGAGGUAAUGGCUCACCAAGGCUCCGAUCCUUAGCUGUUCUGAGAGGAAGAUCAGCCACACUGGGACUGAGACACGGCCCAGACUCCUACGGGAGGCAGCAGUUGGGAAUCUUGGACAAUGGGGGAAACCCUGAUCCAGCCAUGCCGCGUGAGUGAUGAAGGCCUUCGGGUUGUAAAACCCUUUCGGACGGGACGAUAAUGACGGUACCCGUAGAAGAAGCUCCGGCUAACUUCGUGCCAGCAGCCGC
Molecule: ribosomal RNA, 448 nt
Filed under: uncultured bacterium
Lineage: Bacteria
Description: SSU rRNA
Rfam family: Bacterial small subunit ribosomal RNA
Source: RNAcentral